Molecule: long non-coding RNA, 208 nt
Filed under: Populus trichocarpa (black cottonwood)
Lineage: Eukaryota; Viridiplantae; Streptophyta; Magnoliopsida; Malpighiales; Salicaceae
Description: long non-coding RNA (PTRI_LNC000194)
Source: RNAcentral
AGAAUGUUGGUUUUCUAAUUUUGGUUUUCUUUGUUAUUUUUCAAAAUAAAAAAAAAUUAUGUUUGAUCUUUUGAACUCCCAUUGGUUUUUGAGAUUAUGAGUAUUAUGUAUGAGAAUUAGUUGAGAUAGAUGAAGAUAUAAAUCGAAUGAAGGAGUGUGCAUGCAAGUUUUAAGGUUUAAUUGGUUUAGGGAUUGACUUUGAGAAUAU